RNAcentral lists this long non-coding RNA (2883 nucleotides) under Cricetulus griseus (Chinese hamster). RNAcentral's name for it is "lncRNA (ENSCGRG00015033760.1)". Lineage: Eukaryota; Metazoa; Chordata; Mammalia; Rodentia; Cricetidae. The record is from RNAcentral.
CGUUAAAGACAUACAUAGAAAAGAUUUCAGAUUUGAUUCUAAAGGUCAAAUUAAGACUCUGUCAACUGACUGGAAAUAUCCAGCAGAAAUUAUAGUACCAUUAACUAACGAGGAAAUUUCCUCCUUAUGGAAGGAUAAUGAAUAUUGGCAAAUACCUUUAACUGACUUUUUGGGUACAAUUAGCAAAAAUUAUCCCCAAACUGACAGAAUUAAAUUCAUAAAAAAGACAGUUUGUAUUCUACCACAUAUUGUAAGACAAACUCCCAUUUCUGAAGUUCUUACCUUCUACACUGAUGCCACCAAAUCAGGUAAGGCAUGUUAUAAAGCAGGUGAGGUAAGUAAAGUAGUUCAAAGUCCAUAUACAUCUGUACAGAAGGCAGAAUUAUAUCCAAUUCUCUGGUACUUAUGGAUUUUACAGAUUCUCUUCAUAUAGUUAGUUGUUGGGGACCAAGAAAGUUCCAUUAUGGAAUGUCUUAAGGUCCAGCCUCCAGUUUCAGUAAACAGGAGCACCCAGGAGCUCUGGCCUACAAUUGUAUUGCUAAUGCAAGCAAGCGUGCUAUUGUAUAGCAUAGCCUCAGUGUAGAAUGCCUCCUAGUUUGCAUCUCUUCAGGACUAAGCAUUUGAAUAGGUCUGUACCUGGGCAGAAGGUUAGGUGUGUGAGUAACAAGUGAGGACAGAGAGAUAGGAUCCAUGGAGCAGAGAGGAGUCAGCUGAAUGAGACAGAAAUGGCCUCAUGGCCUUGGAAACAUGGUUAGGAGACAGCCCCGAAGAUGCUGAAUAAAGAAGAGACUCUCAUUUUACAGCAUAGAUCUGAGAGUUCUCUAAAGAUGACAAGAUGCCAGUGCUUGGUCUUUAUCGCCAUUGGGUUGCUAGGAGUUUCCAAGUCCACGAUCCCCAACUCGGGCCGAACCUCAUGGCUGUGGUGGCUUGGGGCUGAGACAUGUCAGGCCACAACAAAAUGGUGCCUGAAUGCGGGACCUGAGAACGGGGGAAGAAGCCAUGGACACCACAAAGAAAGGGACACCAAUGAAGCAAUGGACAAGACAGAGGCGUGGACACUUCGAAGAAAUAGUCGUCACAGUUGAACUGGUCAGAGAAGAAGCACCAGCAGGAAAAAGAAGAAAGAAGUGGCCAAGUGUGGUGGAGAAUGAGGCAUGCUGGCUGCUAGAGUGGUUGGUAAAAUACGUGGAGCAGAGAGGAAUUGGACCUGAGGCCUUGGGAGACCUUUGAACCAGCUGGAGUGAAACACUGGACCUGUGUUCUUGAACUUUGAAGACAUCCGACCUAUAGCCUGAAGAAUAAAGGAGACACACACCCAGUUCAAGUUUUGAGAUGCUUUCCAGAGUCCCAGUUUCCCUACAUAUGGACUACAUCCACCUCUCUGAAUCCGUGAGUGCUCAUCCAGGAGCAGACUAAGAACCAGACAACAAACAGCUUGCCUUCUUGCCAGACCUAGACACACAAAACCAUUUUGCCAUUUUUCCCAUGAGAUAAAGGACCCAUUUAGGACAGUUGGAUACUGGUAUAAACCAAAAUGAGUGGCAGAAGCCCCUUCACAAUACUUAAAUGAGACAUGGAAAAAGACUUUUCAAUUAACAUUCAAAGACUAUGUAUGAUAUUACAAACCUGAUUUCAGAACUCUACAGAUUUCAGAAUUUUGGACUUUAAGCAGGAAAUAGAAAGUUUCAAAGAGCAUUGGGCUCCAGGCAGGGAAAAAUGGAAAAAGGUUUAAAAUUGUGAAAUGUUCACACCCACAGAUCCUGAGAAUAUCUUAUUGUCUUUUGAUUGAAUUGUAACUCACCCUAAUGUAUGUUCAUGAUGAGAUUGUUAAUGUCAGUAACCUUGCUAUAUGUGUUAUGUAAAAGUUAUUAGAAAGUAGAAGUCAGGGUUCUUUCUAAAAGAAACGUAACAUGUAAUUUACAAGCCUUGGCAUAGAAGUAUGUUUAAGAGAGCAAACUUAAGUAGUAUGUGUACCAGAAGCACUAGAGGUAUUCCCACGAAGAUUUUAAAAGGCCAUUUUUAACCUUUAUAUGUCUCCAUUCUGCAAGAGAACAUUUGCAGUCGUAAGAGCUCAGGUGCUACCUCCCAGAAGAUUUUUCCUGAUUCAGGAAUGUUUGGAAUUGAACCAUGGCCCAUGCCCCAUUAACCUUAUUUGUUUACAGAGACUGGUUCCAGCCAGAGAUGGGUACAGUUUUCUUUGCUUUCAGGGAAUCCUAAGAUAGAACAUGCAUGACAGAAUGCGUGAUUCCAUGACAGGCACCUCUGGUAGGUUGAAGGGAACCUCCUAAGACAGGUGCAGUCAUCUGAUGCAGAUGCACAGGUUCCUUUUUAUUAAUUUGAGAGAGGUGUGUUGUUAGAGACCAAGAAAGUUCCAUUAAGGCCCAGCCUCCAGUUUCAGUAAACAGGAGCACCCAGGAGCUCCGGCCUACAAUAGUAUUGCUAAUGCGAGCAAGUGUGCUAUUGUAUAGCAUAGUCUCACUGUAGAAGGCAUCCUAGUUUGCAUCUCUACAGGACUAUGUAUUUGAAUAGGUCUGCACCUGGGCAGGAGGUUAGGUAUGUGAGUAACAAGUGAGGAUGGAGAGUUAGGUUCCAUGGAGCAGAGAGGAGUCAGCUGAAGGAGACAGAAAUGGCCUCGUGGCCUUGGAAACAUGGUUGGGGGCAGUCAGGAAGAUGCUGAAUAAAGAAGAGUCUCUAGUUUUGCAGCCUAAAACUGAGAGCUCUCUAAAAUUGAAAAGAUGUCUGUGCUUGGGCUUUAAUACCAUUGGGAUGCAUUCCAAGUCCACGCUCUCCCACUCAGGCCGAACCUCAUGGCUGUGGUGGCUUGGGGCUGAGACAAGCUGGGCCACGACAGUUACUGAUUCUCAAUAUGCAGAGAGAGUCGUA